Long non-coding RNA from Aethalodelphis obliquidens (Pacific white-sided dolphin), 153 nucleotides. RefSeq lists it as uncharacterized. The record is from RefSeq and is a predicted model, not a curated record. NCBI's taxonomy places the organism in Eukaryota, Metazoa, Chordata, Mammalia, Artiodactyla, Delphinidae. The transcript has 3 exons.
UACUCAAAACAUGAGGUCAUCAAAGACAAGGAAAGUCUGAGAAACUAUCACAGCCAAGAGAAGCCUAAGGAAACAUGACCACUACAUGUAAUGUGGUAUCCUGGAUGGGAUUCUAGAACAGAAAAAAGACAUUAGUCAAAAACUAAUGAAUUC